RNAcentral lists this ribosomal RNA (601 nucleotides) under bacterium tet-w-55. RNAcentral describes it as "bacterial SSU rRNA". It matches the Rfam family "Bacterial small subunit ribosomal RNA", at positions 52 to 651 of the family's 1533-position model. The record is from RNAcentral.
CACAUGCAGUCGAGCGGUAGAGAGGUGCUUGCACCUCUUGAGAGCGGCGGACGGGUGAGUAAUACCUAGGAAUCUGCCUGAUAGUGGGGGAUAACGUUCGGAAACGGACGCUAAUACCGCAUACGUCCUACGGGAGAAAGCAGGGGACCUUCGGGCCUUGCGCUAUCAGAUGAGCCUAGGUCGGAUUAGCUAGUUGGUGAGGUAAUGGCUCACCAAGGCUACGAUCCGUAACUGGUCUGAGAGGAUGAUCAGUCACACUGGAACUGAGACACGGUCCAGACUCCUACGGGAGGCAGCAGUGGGGAAUAUUGGACAAUGGGCGAAAGCCUGAUCCAGCCAUGCCGCGUGUGUGAAGAAGGUCUUCGGAUUGUAAAGCACUUUAAGUUGGGAGGAAGGGCAUUAACCUAAUACGUUAGUGCUUUGACGUUACCGACAGAAUAAGCACCGGCUAACUCUGUGCCAGCAGCCGCGGUAAUACAGAGGGUGCAAGCGUUAAUCGGAAUUACUGGGCGUAAAGCGCGCGUAGGUGGUUUGUUAAGUUGAAUGUGAAUCCCCGGGCUCAACCUGGGAACUGCAUCCAAACUGGCAAGCUAGAGUAUGG